Molecule: ribosomal RNA, 252 nt
Filed under: uncultured bacterium
Lineage: Bacteria
Description: partial 16S ribosomal RNA
Rfam family: Bacterial small subunit ribosomal RNA
Source: RNAcentral
UACGUAGGGGGCAAGCGUUGUCCGGAAUUAUUGGGCGUAAAGCGCGCGCAGGCGGUCUUUUAAGUCUGGUGUUUAAGUGCGGGGCUCAACCCCGUGACGCACUGGAAACUGGAGGACUUGAGUGCAGAAGAGGAGAGCGGAAUUCCACGUGUAGCGGUGAAAUGCGUAGAGAUGUGGAGGAACACCAGUGGCGAAGGCGGCUCUCUGGCCUGUAACUGACGCUGAGGCGCGAAAGCGUGGGGAGCAAACAGG